GCUUAUUUUCAGGUGUAUGAGGAAGUCAGGUGCAAGUCAUAAGACUUGGCUGCAGUCCCGGGCGCCAUCUUGGGACUGCUGCCACAACCGCUCCUCACAGCUGACAAAUAAAACUGUACUUAUGGAUCAUCAAGAAUGUCUUCAAAUACCUGGGACACUGGCAGAGGACAUCUUUAAUAGAAGACUGGUGGGUAACAGAAACAAUGGAGAAGCACCCACUUCUAUGUCCAGAUUUCAAAUUCUACAACAGUUGCUGCUCUUCUAUCUUCUUAUCAAAAGCUUCAAGUGAACUACCAUUGUUCCAACUUCCAAUAAAAUUCUUCUCUUGUUCCUUCAGGAUCAUACCACAGAAAGAUGCAAAAUUUGACCCAGUAACUUUCAAGCAAAUUUUGAAAAGUGAAAGAUUAUUCACUUAUUUCAAAUAAAUUCUCAAAUUCAGAA
RNAcentral lists this long non-coding RNA (441 nucleotides) under Mus spicilegus (steppe mouse). RNAcentral describes it as "lncRNA (ENSMSIG00000000938.1)". The record is from RNAcentral. Lineage: Eukaryota; Metazoa; Chordata; Mammalia; Rodentia; Muridae.